RNAcentral lists this ribosomal RNA (529 nucleotides) under Elaterinae sp. UPOL RK0020. RNAcentral describes it as "partial 16S ribosomal RNA". It matches the Rfam family "Archaeal large subunit ribosomal RNA", at positions 1918 to 2679 of the family's 2987-position model. Lineage: Eukaryota; Metazoa; Arthropoda; Insecta; Coleoptera; Elateridae. The record is from RNAcentral.
CAUGUCCUUUUGAUUAUAAUUUAAGGUCUAAUCUGCUCAAUGAAUAUAUUUUAAAUUGCCGCGGUAUCUUGACCGUGCGAAGGUAGCAUAAUAAUUAGUUUUUUUAUUGAAAGCUGGAAUGAAUGAUUGGACAAGAAAAUCUCUGUCUCUUAUUUAAUUAAUUUUUAAUUUAACUUUUAAGUGAGAAGGCUUAAAUUUUUAUUAAAGACGAGAAGACCCUAUAGAGUUUAAUAUUGUAGAUAAUAAAUUAAUUUUUGGAAUUUUAAUUAUUUACUUGUUUCAUUAUUUUGUUGGGGUGACAAGAAGAAAAAAUAAACUCUUCUAAUAUUUUAAAUCAAUAAUUUUUGAAUAUGUAAUCUGGUUUUACUAAAUUUAAGAUAAAUUACCUUAGGGAUAACAGCGUAAUUCUUUUUUAGAGUUCUUAUUGAAAAUAGAGUUUGCGACCUCGAUGUUGGAUUAAAAUUUAUUUCUGGUGCAAAAGCUGGAAUAUUGAGUCUGUUCGACUUUUGAAAUUUUACAUGAUCUGAGU